GACGAACGCUGGCGGCGUGCUUAACACAUGCAAGUCGAGCGGUAAGGCCCUUUCGGGGGUACGACGAGCGGCGAACGGGUGAGUAACACGUGGGUGACCUGCCCUCAGCUCUGGGAUAAGCCUGGGAAACUGGGUCUAAUACUGGAUAUGACUCCACGGUGCAUGUCGUGGGGUGGAAAGCCUUGUGCGGCUGAGGAGUCGGGCCC
Molecule: ribosomal RNA, 206 nt
Filed under: uncultured bacterium
Lineage: Bacteria
Description: partial 16S ribosomal RNA
Rfam family: Bacterial small subunit ribosomal RNA
Source: RNAcentral